CGGGCGGGGAUGUCGAUUGGGAGUUGUGCCUUGAGGCGUGGCUUCCGGAGCUAACGCGUUAAAUCGACCGCCUGGGGAGUACGGCCGCAAGGUUAAAACUCAAAUGAAUUGACGGGGGCCCGCACAAGCGGUGGAGCAUGUGGUUUAAUUCGAUGCAACGCGAAGAACCUUACCUGGUCUUGACAUCCACAGAACUUUCCAGAGAUGGAUUGGUGCCUUCGGGAACUGUGAGACAGGUGCUGCAUGGCUGUCGUCAGCUCGUGUUGUGAAAUGUUGGGUUAAGUCCCGCAACGAGCGCAACCCUUAUCCUUUGUUGCCAGCGGUUCGGCCGGGAACUCAAAGGAGACUGCCAGUGAUAAACUGGAGGAAGGUGGGGAUGACGUCAAGUCAUCAUGGCCCUUACGACCAGGGCUACACACGUGCUACAAUGGCAUAUACAAAGAGAAGCGACCUCGCGAGAGCAAGCGGACCUCAUAAAGUAUGUCGUAGUCCGGAUUGGAGUCUGCAACUCGACUCCAUGAAGUCGGAAUCGCUAGUAAUCGUAGAUCAGAAUGCUACGGUGAAUACGUUCCCGGGCCUUGUACACACCGCCCGUCACACCAUGGGAGUGGGUUGCAAAAGAAGUAGGUAGCUUAACCUUCGGGAGGGCGCUUACCACUUUGUGAUUCAUGACUGGGGUGAAGUCGAAAGGGGAACCCCCAAAAAGACGUGGACCCCUGGGGUUAUAGACACUGACUUGGAUAGUUUUCCCCGUGGGGCAGCCCUCCCCCCCGAAAUUUCCCCAUAAUCCCCGGCUUGUUCCCCGAGACCCCGGGGAAUUCGCCCCCGCUGCACCCGAAUUUUUGGCGGGAGCGUUCAUCGAUCAGCGGACGCGCGGGUUGACCCCCGGGAAAAUCCCCCACCCGACGUCACAAAAAACCCGGCCGGGGGGGGCUUUAACCCCCCCAUUAAUCCCCCAAAAAACGCCGUGGCCCCCCCCUCAGAUAACACGCGGCGGGCGCGGCGCCCCCAGGGAGAGGGCGGGGGGCAUUUUCCCCUGG
RNAcentral lists this ribosomal RNA (1040 nucleotides) under Klebsiella pneumoniae. RNAcentral's name for it is "bacterial SSU rRNA". The stretch from base 1 to 738 matches the Rfam family "Bacterial small subunit ribosomal RNA", at positions 796 to 1533 of the family's 1533-position model. Lineage: Bacteria; Pseudomonadati; Pseudomonadota; Gammaproteobacteria; Enterobacterales; Enterobacteriaceae. The record is from RNAcentral.